Molecule: ribosomal RNA, 440 nt
Filed under: uncultured bacterium
Lineage: Bacteria
Description: partial 16S ribosomal RNA
Rfam family: Bacterial small subunit ribosomal RNA
Source: RNAcentral
CCUACGGGUGGCUGCAGUGGGGAAUAUUGGACAAUGGGCGCAAGCCUGAUCCAGCAAUGCCGCGUGAGUGAUGAAGGCCCUCGGGUCGUAAAGCUCUUUUACCAGGGAUGAUAAUGACAGUACCUGGAGAAUAAGCUCCGGCUAACUCCGUGCCACCAGCCGCGGUAAUACGGAGGGAGCUAGCGUUGUUCGGAAUUACUGGGCGUAAAGCGCACGUAGGCGGCUACUCAAGUCAGAGGUGAAAGCCCGGGGCUCAACCCCGGAACUGCCUUUGAAACUAGGUGGCUAGAAGCUUGGAGAGGCGAGUGGAAUUCCGAGUGUAGAGGUGAAAUUCGUAGAGAUUCGGAAGAACACCAGUGGCGAAGGCGACUCGCUGGACAAGUAUUGACGCUGAGGUGCGAAAGCGUGGGGAGCAAACAGGAUUAGAUACCCCAGUAGUC